UGAAAGUUAGCUCACUGGAUAGAGCGAUCGACUCAUAAUCGAUUGGUUGCAGGUUCGAUUCCUGCACUUUCCA
Molecule: transfer RNA, 73 nt
Filed under: Tolypothrix bouteillei VB521301
Lineage: Bacteria; Bacillati; Cyanobacteriota; Cyanophyceae; Nostocales; Tolypothrichaceae
Rfam family: tRNA
About the family: Transfer RNA (tRNA) molecules are approximately 80 nucleotides in length. Their secondary structure includes four short double-helical elements and three loops (D, anti-codon, and T loops).
Source: Rfam by way of RNAcentral